UCUUAAACAACCUUAUAUGAGCAGUUCUCUUCUCAGGCUACUCUAGCACAGCUGUGGCCAGCUGCACUCAGCCUUCAGCCCAGCCAUGGAUUAUAUACCAGAUGAUUCCUGUUCAUUGAAAAUACUGGAAACAACAAGGAAUACAUCACACUGCCGAGAAAUUGGAUCCACCCAGAGAGACCAAAGGAAAGCUAUGACAUUUGAGGAACAGGCAAACAUUUCUCCUGCAAGCAUUUACUGAAGCAGUAUGUUUUCUUUUCUUCUCUGUCCAAGACUAUAAAAACAAGUUUGGAUACUCCACCGGAAUGCUGUCACAGUUCUGAAUUUGGAAACUGAUAUUACCAUGUCCGUAAAGGACAAAGAAUGGAGGCUCCAAAUGUUGUAAUGAGUAACGCUUUUUAAAACUCAGAAAACUGACCAACAUCUGAGAACUAACUUGAUCCAGCCAAAUAUUUCUGGGUAUAAGAAGAGGCAAUGAUAAUUAGAAUUGCUGCUUGUAGAUAGGUAGUUUAAACUACACACAGUAGCUGGAUGUCUUCAAGGUAAAAGCAACUGAAGAGCAUUAGUGUUCAAGUAUCAUUAACCUCUCCAAAACGUUUCUUGGCAAACGGUUCUGAAGGCCUUCACUGAGUUUCUGUCAUUCUUCCCCUCCUUCUGUUCUAUGUCUUCCCACACUCAGUGAGUGGAACAUUUGGAUCAUUUUUAAAUUGUGUGAGGGAAGAGACCAAGAAAAAAAAUAAUUGAAGAACAGGGCAACUCUCUAGUAGUAAUAAAUAUUUAACUUGAAAAAUGCCUAAGAAUAAAUAUCAUCUAUAUAGGCACAUACAAGACUGUGGCACUCCUCUUUUGUUCACAUGUAGGAUCUUAGAAAAAAUAACCCCAAUAUUUUACUAUGAAAGAUUAUAGGUACCUAUGUUU
RNAcentral lists this long non-coding RNA (918 nucleotides) under Homo sapiens (human). RNAcentral describes it as "HSALNT0077264". The record is from RNAcentral. Lineage: Eukaryota; Metazoa; Chordata; Mammalia; Primates; Hominidae.